Molecule: long non-coding RNA, 4943 nt
Filed under: Nicotiana tabacum (common tobacco)
Lineage: Eukaryota; Viridiplantae; Streptophyta; Magnoliopsida; Solanales; Solanaceae
Description: long non-coding RNA (NTAB_LNC005130)
Source: RNAcentral
UCUUGUUAGCUCAUACCCCUUAACUUAAAACUCUACAAAAAUCUAGAUCCCUACCCUCUAUAAAAUCUAACUUAAAAACUCCUACGGGGAGGGGUGAAGGGAGACGAUCAGCAACGACCUUUCCUUUUCACUCGAUCUCACCAGCUCACCGGAAAAAUGCGAACGACCUUAAGCAGCCGGCCGGAUCUCGACCAUUCUCUAACACCCAUCGUUGCUCCUCCUUCUCUUUACCAUAGCUUGCCGGAAAACACUCACACACACACUCCACAAACCCCUCCCAGCUAACCCUCCAACUGUCCCGAAUUCGUUUUGCAUAGGAAAGAUUGUGAUAUUUUGGCCAUGGAGAUUAUUUGAAGAAGUGUAGUGGAGUUUGAGUUUGGUCCGGCGAAGUCAGUCCAUUCGUGGUUCUGCUACGAUUUCGCCAUUUUGAUCCAUCCGUUGUUGCUUUUCGCUGGGUUCGGAAUCACAAUUUGUAGCCAACUUUCUUCAUCAUCUGAUUAAUAAGAAGCUGUCUCUGCUCACUUGAGGUCCAAUUCUUGCCUUGUUUCUCUUAGUUUUUUUUGUCCUAUGCUUGAUUUUAGAUAGUAUAAAUAUGGUGAUUACAUGUUUGACAUGUUGGUUGUUUGCUGGUUUUCAGAACUUAAAGUAGAUUUUUAGGUGUUUUAGAUUAUAGUUUAGGUUUAACUACAUAAUUUGAAUUAGUAUUGUUUAAAUAUUAAAUAAGGAUUAUGCUAAGAAAUGGUAGUUGUUUCUCAUUAACAGAUCUGAUGAAUUUGGUUGUGGGAGGUUGGAUGUUAAUAAUGAAAGUUAAGUUUAGCAUGCUAAUUAUUUUGUUCUAUUGGUUUGAUUGAUAGUAGCAUGCUUAGGCCGACUACACUUGGGUAGGCAAACCUUAGAAUUUUUUUGUUAGCGUUGAGGCGAGAGGUCGUUCCCUUAGUUAAAUUUAUCCGGGGAAUGUGAAGCCCCAGAAAAAAAUUUGCUAAAUAAUUUAAGAUUUCGUGGUGCCAAGGUAGGCUAAUUANNNNNNNNNNNNNNNNNNNNNNNNNNNNNNNNNNNNNNNNNNNNNNNNNNNNNNUUCAUAAUGGACUAAAGUUGUGAAUGAGUACGCACAAGACCUCAAUUUGGACAAUCAUAUCUCCAGUUAUAUAAGGUGUUGUAUGAUGCGCAACCUAUCAAAUUAAAGCUCUUUGAGUCUAGUUUCCGACGCAUCAAACCGUUUGUCAUUUGGAGGUGUAUACAGAAAGUUACGACCAUUUUUCUGGGCAUCUGUCAUAUGCGCGCCCAGGUGCACGGCGGAAGCGCGGCCCCACAUAUUGAGAAGUAUUCUGCCUCGUGAGCGCGGCCUUAGCGCGCUAAUAGGAGACCUUUAAAUACGCCUAAGGAUGGGAAAUGAGAGGAUUUAAGUCAUUUUUCAAGACUAGGGCAUCCUCUCCAUCCCCAAUCCGGCCAAGACAUCCAAUUGCACACCUAAGGUGAGUUUUUAAGUGUGUUUUCAUAAUGAUUUCACUUCUUAAUCACUAGUUAAAACAUGGUUUUGAUUGGAUUUCAUAGGAUUUCUUCAAAAUCUCAAGAACAUCCCAAAAGUUGUCUUUCAAGAUUUAGUCUAUAAGAGAUAAUCUUUUACUCUUAGACUUACAUAUAUGGAGUUAUUAUGGAAAUACGAGUAUAAAUUAUGUAUUGUAACUCAUGGGAUGGUGAUUGGAAGUCAUAGGUGCCUAACCUAGGUUGUGUUGGUGUUGUAGAGAUUGUGAGAUGGGUUAUUGAGGUAUGAUUCUUAGGUGUAAUAGUAUUAUGUAUACAUGUAUGUACAAAUUAGGUUUGUGGGAAGAUUGUUGAACAUAAAUAAGUAAAGAUUGGGUUGGGCAAUGAAGGAAAUCUUGUAAAAGAGAUUUGAAAUCAAGAUGCUCAACUAGUGUUUGAUAAAAUGCUCAAAUGAGCUGAAACCAUGAAUACCUUCCUAAUUUGUGUUCAAUUUUGUUAUGUCUCAAGUAGAUUGGGAUUGGUAGAAUUUUCGGAACGUUGUAGUAACUUAAGGAAAGCUUAAACAAGGUAUGUAUGGCUAAAACCCCGUCUUUUAGAAAUCGAGCUUCAUCGAUGUUUGUGUGAAUAUGGUAAGAUUAAAGUUGAAUUGUUGCAUCGAUUAUUAUUUUAUAUGAAUUGGUGUUGUAACCUUAUAUGCGUGAAAGAUGUGCCUCAACAUGAUCAACGUGUUAUCUUAAUAACUUGAAAGGGGCAAAAGAUAUGAAUUAUGUAUUAAAAUGCUUAGACCUUAAAUUGAGAUUGAAGCUGCAUAUAAUGUGCCAUCUAUGUGAAAGUCUUAUCUAUGCUCACAAUUUAAAUUGCUCUUGUAUGCACCUACUAUCCUAAAUAGCAAAUCUAACAUUAAAAUUGGGAAUGAUGUGAGAUGUGGCUUAGUGCCAAAUAUAUGAUGUGACAAUUAUGGCCCCAAGUGCCUAUGAAAUGAUUUAUGGGAAACAAAGAUUGAAAUGAGAUGAUUGAUAGAAAAAGGAAAUGCCUUGGUAAGGCGGCCUAGCUGAUCGGGCCGAGAUCGGACGCCAUGCUACGCUCAUGGUGGUAAUGUGAUUGAAGUGAAUGUCUCAAAUGAGGCAACCUAGCCGAUCGGGUCGAGAUCGGACUCCGCUCAAGAUAACUGUGGUAAUGUGAACAAUGUUGAACAGUAUGAAAUGCCCCAAACUAAAGGCUAUGGAAAUAUGAUAUGAAAAUUGUAUGAUUCUUUUAUAUUGAUAAUGUUGUGAUCGUUUAAAGCUUUUGAGUUGUACUUGUGAUUUCCUUAUUUUUGUAUGAAAGUUCUUUCUAACUAGAUGGUGUUUAGUUAUAGAUACUAAUGCUAUUCGAUGACACUAACGUCCCUUUUGCCGGGGGCGCUACGUCUUUAAAUGGAUGUAGGUGUUUCUAUAGUAGGUAGUGUUGGUCGCAGCUAGCGCCGCAUCAUCCUUUCAGCUGACUUGGUGAGCCCCACUUCGUUUCGGGGUCCUGUUUCAUCUGUUUAUCAUAUACUUUGUAUUUUGAGGUAUAGUCGUAGCCUUGUUACCGACAUUUCCAUAUUACAUUACUCUUCAGUUGUGUUUAUAGGCUCCAUAGACAGGUUGUGGGUAGUGUCGGGUAUUGGAAUUAAAGUAGAAAUAUUGAUGUUUGUCAAAGAUUUAUAAAACUUGUAAUAUUUUGAUGAUUACGAUUUAAGCUGCUAAUGGAAAUGAAACGGAAGUUGUUAAUGAAAUACUUACUAAGUGUGAUUAAUGGAUUUCAUCUCCUAUUUAUUCAUGAAUUAGUUUGGGUAGAAUGAAACCUAACAGGCUUGCUCAGUCAGGUUUACUCGGUAAAGCGCUGGUCGUGCUCCUCAGUUUUGGGGCGUGACAGAGAAUGCCCCGAAGGAUUUGUAUAUAUAUAUAUUAUUUCGGGGAAUGCCCCGUCGUACAUGUAAAUGGAGGCCAAAAGUAGAAACUUGUAGUAUUUUUAUUUUACUUUCAUUUUUCUUUUUCUUUUAUUAGGUGAGGACGACCUCACGCCUCGUGUGUGUUUAUUUGCUUUUCCGUGUUUAUUUUUACCUCAAUUUGAAUAUUCUAAAAGCCAACUUGAUCAUGUAGGCGACCGUGAUUUUCACGGGACUUGGGGAAUGUCUAACACCUUCUCCCGAGUCAAAUGAGCCCCCUUACCUUAAUCUCUGGUGCGGACUUAAUUUUGGGAGUCCAAAGUGUUUAAAAAGGAAAUAAUCAUUUUUACAAAACGGUGACCUGACGCACCGAAACUAAUGUCAGGUGGCGACUCUGAGUUAUUUCCUUUUGAACACAAAUUCUUGUCAUUUUUCAUAAUUGAAAACCCUUUUGAACUUGCAAAAUCUUUUUAUAUUUUUAAGAGGGUUAGUGAGGUUUGUAAAAAAAAAAGGGUGUGACACAUACGACUAGCCAAAUUCGAUGGUACGACAUUAUAUGUUAAUGGCAAUAUCAUUUCACUUGUUGUAGAUGAAAGAAGUUGUGUUGAGCUUGGUUGAGUAAUAAGGAAGAGAUCAUACAGAUAUGUUAAGGAUAAUCAUUUUUUCUUUUGGCAUGAUCCAAGUAACGAUACGUAAAUAUAACGCUAUUUCAUAAGUGGUUCUAGUCUUGGCAGUUAAGAAUGUCUAUGUUAUUCACUCAUGUAAACUGAUAUUCAAGCAUGUCUAAGUAUGUUUCUAAGUCUCUAUUGAGGUGUUUGAUAAAGAUGUUAAUAUUUAUAAUAUAGUGAUAUAUGCAUGUGCAUGCCUUUACCACCGUGCUACGUCCGGUUGGGCAGUCGUGCAUAUUCACUUACCAUCGUGCUACAGCCGGUUGGGCAGAUAUGCAUCUUCAUUUACAACCGUGCUACGACCCGUUGGGCAGACAUGCAUCUUUAUUUACCACCGAGCUAAAUCUGGUCGGGCAAUCAUGCAUCAUAGGAUAUGAAUAAUAGUCUCAAAGAGAAGCAUUAUAUAUAUAUAUAUAUAUAUAUACACACACACACUUCAGAGAUUCAGGUUGAAUCAUAUAUGUCCUUAAUUAAUGUUGACUUACUGUUAUAUUUCAGUUCUGCCCCUUACAUACUCAGUACAUCAUUCGUACUGACGUCCUUUUGUUGGAGACGAUGCAUACAUGCCUACAGGUAUAGACAAUCAGUUUGACGAACUCUCAUAGUAGACGAGGUCAGCAUUCAGCGAAGGAUCGGUAAGACUCCAACUCAUUCGGAGUGCAUCUGAGUCUAUAAGUCAUCGUGUUAGAAUUUUGCUACAUACUUAUGGAUAGGCCAACACCCUGUCCCAUUUAAUGUCAAAUAAUCUUAGAGUCUUUGUAGACAGAGUUUCAUUUUGUACAGUAUGUCAGGGGCUUUGACGACCCAUAUGUAUUCAUGUUUUAAGAAAGAUGGUUCUAUUGAUACAGUGUUUUCCCAUUUAUAGUUAUACAUUACGAGUUGUG